AAAACCAUAAGACGGGGAGGCUCCGACCUCGACUAGCAUGGGAUCAAAAAAAAUUAUACAUCGCGCUCACUGGGAAGGGCCAUUCCCUUCCGGUCCCAGACCGGAAACACCCAUGCCCCUUGACCGGACGACUGGAUUUAGACCACGGCCGUGGAUACCUUCAUCCUGGUCCCUCUACUUGGUGUGUGACUGAUAAUAGGUCUGCAACUGACUAUACUGAAUCCAUUAUCCAGGAAGCUAUGGUAGCACGCAAAUAAGGAGACAUACUAACAAGACUUGAUCUCGGUCGACUCGGGAGGUUUUAAGUAUUACAUGCAUGAUUAGCACCAACAAGAUGCAGACAGAGUUACUACCUGCCCUAACAUGCCUUGCUGACCACUCUCGUCCCACGAGAUGUCAGUCCCACGGUCGUGUCUCCACAAGACACCGACUUUUACUGAAUCCCAUCCAGUAGACAUGUAGGGUAGGAAGGUGUGACCACUGGCCAUGCAUCGCAAUGUAACAAUCUUUGCUCAAAAAUCAUGAAACCACAUACAUGAUUAUCACAUGAAAUAACACCACACAUUAAACAUAUCCAUAUAUUAUUCUCACCAAGCAAACCACACAUAACCAAGAUAAAUGUAGGUUCAGGAUGCUUGCCUUCCAAGUGUAGAGAGGUAGGGUUUCACCACAAAAGUUUUGCAAGUUUUG
RNAcentral lists this long non-coding RNA (690 nucleotides) under Hordeum vulgare. RNAcentral's name for it is "long non-coding RNA (HVUL_LNC012425)". Lineage: Eukaryota; Viridiplantae; Streptophyta; Magnoliopsida; Poales; Poaceae. The record is from RNAcentral.